RNAcentral lists this ribosomal RNA (505 nucleotides) under uncultured bacterium. Its description in RNAcentral is "bacterial SSU rRNA". It matches the Rfam family "Bacterial small subunit ribosomal RNA", at positions 15 to 518 of the family's 1533-position model. The record is from RNAcentral.
GAUUCUGGCUCAGGAUGAACGCUAGCGGCAGGCUUAAUACAUGCAAGUCGAACGGGAUUCAGGUAGCAAUACUUGAUGAGAGUGGCGCACGGGUGCGUAACACGUAUGCAACCUACCUUUAACUGGUGAAUAGCCCCGGGAAAUCGGGAUUAAUACACCAUAACAUUACAAGAGGGCAUCCUUUAAUAAUUAAAGAACUUCGGUUAAAGAUGGGCAUGCGGGACAUUAGCUAGUUGGUGAGGUAACGGCUCACCAAGGCAACGAUGUCUAGGGGUCCUGAGAGGGUUAUCCCCCACACUGGUACUGAGACACGGACCAGACUCCUACGGGAGGCAGCAGUAAGGAAUAUUGGUCAAUGGGCGCAGGCCUGAACCAGCCAUGCCGCGUGAAGGAAGACGGCGCUAUGCGUUGUAAACUUCUUUUGUCAGGGAAUAAAUGUAGGUACGUGUACUUACUUGAAGGUACCUGAAGAAUAAGCAUCGGCUAACUCCGUGCCAGCCGCGGC